GACAGAGGAUGCAAGCGUUAUCCGGAAUGAUUGGGCGUAAAGCGUCUGUAGGUGGCUUUUUAAGUUUGCCGUCAAAUCCCAGGGCUCAACUCCGGGAAUGGACUGAAUACUGGGUGACUAGAGGAUGUCAGAGGAAAGUGGAAUUCCAAGUGUAGCGGUGAAAUGCGUAGAUAUUUGGAGGAACACCAGUGGCGAAGGCGGCUCACUGGAUCGGUACUGACGCUGAGGUGCGAAAGCGUGGGGAGCAAACAGG
RNAcentral lists this ribosomal RNA (253 nucleotides) under uncultured bacterium. Its description in RNAcentral is "partial 16S ribosomal RNA". It matches the Rfam family "Bacterial small subunit ribosomal RNA", at positions 524 to 776 of the family's 1533-position model. The record is from RNAcentral.